RNAcentral lists this ribosomal RNA (406 nucleotides) under uncultured bacterium. Its description in RNAcentral is "partial 16S ribosomal RNA". It matches the Rfam family "Bacterial small subunit ribosomal RNA", at positions 30 to 526 of the family's 1533-position model. The record is from RNAcentral.
AUUGAACGCUGGCGGCAGGCCUAACACAUGCAAGUCGAACGAGUGGCGGACGGGUGAGUAAUGUCUGGGAAACUCCCUGCUGGCGGGGGAUAACUACUGUAAACGGUAGCUAAUACCGCAUACCAUCAGAUGUGCCCAGAUGGGAUGAGCUUUUGGGUGGGGUAACGGCUCCCCACGGCGACGAUCCCUAGCUGGUCUGUGAGGAUGACAAGCCACACUGGAACUUGGACACGGUCAAGACGCCUACGGGAGGCAGCAGGGGGGAAUAUGGCAAAAUUGGCGAAAGGGUGAUGCAGCCAUGCCGCGUGGAUGAAGAAGGCCUUCGGGUUGUAAAGUACUUUCAGCGGGGAGGCGUUACCCGCAGAAGAAGCACCGGCUAACUCCGUGCCAGCAGCCGCGGUAAUUC